Molecule: ribosomal RNA, 498 nt
Filed under: uncultured bacterium
Lineage: Bacteria
Description: partial 16S ribosomal RNA
Rfam family: Bacterial small subunit ribosomal RNA
Source: RNAcentral
AUUGAACGCUGGCGGCAUGCUUUACACGUGCAAGUCGAACGGUAACAGGCCGCAAGGUGCUGACGAGUGGCGAACGGGUGAGUAAUGCAUCGGAACGUGCCCAGUCGGGGGGGAUAACGCAGCGAAAGCUGCGCUAAUACCGCAUACGAUCUAUGGAUGAAAGCGGGGGACCGUAAGGCCUCGCGCGAUUGGAGCGGCCGAUGUCAGAUUAGGUAGUUGGUGGGGUAAAGGCUCACCAAGCCAACGAUCUGUAGCUGGUCUGAGAGGACGACCAGCCACACUAGGACUGAGACACGGCCCAGACUCCUACGGGAGGCAGCAGUGGGGAAUUUUGGACAAUGGGCGCAAGCCUGAUCCAGCAAUGCCGCGUGCAGGAAGAAGGCCUUCGGGUUGUAAACUGCUUUUGUACGGAACGAAACGGUCCGGGUUAAUACCCUGGGCUAAUGACGGUACCGUAAGAAUAAGCACCGGCUAACUACGUGCCAGCCGCCGCCGUAA